CCUCCCAUAACCCUCAAAUCAUGCAUUUAGCUAUUCUACAACAUGCAUAAACACAUUUUCCAGCAUAUAGGGGCUUACAACUAACCUAUACCCCAACAACACAUGAUAGCAACACAUUAUAACAUACAUUAUCCAUAAACUCAACAAUGACCCUAACAUUUGACAACUACCCUAAUCAGGCAUAAAACCCCUUCAAACUUCUCAAAACUUUUUCAAAACAUGAAAAGAGGUGAGGAUCUACUCUUACCUCUUGAAGAUCGAGAGGAAAGGCGAUCCAACUCGGAGAUGGGAGAGAUCGAGCUCCUGGAGUCUCCAAGUUUCCAACUUCACUCUUUUUGCUCAAAUAUCUUCAGACCAAGAUAAAACUUGUUAAAAAUCAUGAGAGACUUGAAGGAAGAAGACAAGAUCGACAAGGGAGGUCGGAGACUCACCUUGGCCGAAAAUGGGGAGAGAAAACUCACCCAUUUCGGACAGGAGACCCCUUUAUAGGUGGCUGGCUAGGCCACUUUCGGGGGCCUAACGUGCCUCCGCAUGCAUGCCAUGUUCAGCGGCCGAACAUGAGGUUCGGCAGCCGAACUUGGGCUCUUCCUUCAUUCUCUUUCUUUUCUUUUCUUUAAAACUUUCACUCAAAAUUAAUCAUUAAAAACAUGAAAAACAUUUGUAAAAACAUCUUUUUCCUACUAGAGAGUUCCGACAUCCGAGAUUUGACCGGACGGUAGGAGUUCCGAUACCGGAGUCUAGCCGGGUAUUACAUUCUCCCCCCCUUAAGAACAUUCGUCCCCGAAUGUUCACCAAACAAACACAUGCAUAGCAUAAAACAUCAAGAAACACAUAAACCUAUAACACAUACCUUAAAAGAGAUGGGGGUAUUGCUGGAGCAUGGACUCCUGUGUCUCCCAUGUACACUCCACGAUAUGGUGGUGAUUCCAAAGGACUUUCACCAUCGGAAUUUCCUUGUUCCUCAACUUUCUUAUAUGUGUGUCUAGGAUCCGCACUGGUUGCUCAACAUAGGUGAGAUCUUAUUGGAUCUCCACAUCAGGCUCGCUAAGAACCUUGCCCGGAUCUGACACGAACUUCCUUAACAUAGAAACAUGGAAAACCGGAUGGAUUAUCUCCAUAGAAGCAGGUAAAUCCAGCUUAUACGAUACAUUCCCGAUCUUUUGCAAGAUUUCAAAGGGUCUGAUGUACCGCGAAGCUAGCUUACUUUUCUUCUCAAACCGAAUCACCCCUUUCAUAGGAGAUACCUUGAGCAAUACCAAAUCCCCCUCCUGAAACUCCACCUGCCUCCUGCGGACAUCUGUAUAACUUUUCUGUCGACUGAUAGCAGUUCUGAUCCUCUCUCUGAUAAUGGGUACCACUCUGCUGGUGAUCUCUACUAACUUUGGGCCUGCCAAGGCCCUCUCUCCUACUUCUUCCCAGCAAACAGGUGACUUGCACUUCCUCCCAUAUAAAGCUUCAUAUGGAGCCAUCCCUAUGCUAGCAUGAUAGCUGUUAUUGUAGGCAAACUCCACCAAAGGUAGAUGCUGCCUCCAAGAACCGCCAAAAUCUAGCACACACAUUCUGAGCAUAUCUUCAAUUGUUUGGAUGGUCCUCUUCAUCUGUCCAUCAGUCUGAGGAUGGAAAGCAGUGCUAAAAUCCAACCUGGUACCCAUAGCGUUCUGCAGACUCCGCCAAAACCUGGAGGUGAACUGGGGGUCCUCUAUCAGACACUAUUGAAACAGGAGCCCCAUGCAACCUGACUACUUCAUCAACAAAUACCUGCGCCAAAUUUAUCCACAUAGUAGCCACUCCUAACAGGGAUGAAGUGAGCCGAUUUGGUCAGUCUGUCCACGAUCACCCAUAUGGAGUCUAAUCUGUUGGAUGUUGCCGGUAACCCCAUCACGAAAUCCAUAGCGAUAUUCUCCCAUUUCCACUCUGGAAUCGGCAGUGGGUUAAGCAUUUCAGCCGGCUUCUGAUGUUCCAGCUUCACCCUCUGACAAACCUCGCAGGCUUACACGAACUGUGCCACUUCUCUUUUCAUAGCUGGCCACCAAUAAACUCUUUUCAGAUCUUGGUACAUUUUGGUGGCCCCAGGGUGAACGUUGUAUCUAGCAUUAUGAGCUUCCCUCAUAAUGUCUCCCUUCAGACUUAUGUCAUCUAGUACACAUAACCUGUUCCCAUAGCGGAGGAUCCCUUUGUUGUCAAAUCUGAACUCUUCAUUCUUGCCUGCCUGCACUGCUCUUGCUAUCUUCACCAGCUCUGGGUCCUCAUGCUGUUUCUGAGCCACCUACUCUAGAAACACGGGUGUCACUCUCAUCUGAGCUAUUAAAGCCCCUGUACCAGACAACUCUAGCUGCAGUCCCUCAUUCAUAAGCUUGUAGAAUUCUUUCACCACCGGUCUUCUCUCUACUAAUAUAUGGGAUAAACUGCCAAGUGAUUUCCGGCUUAGGGCAUCUGCCACAACAUUUGCCUUACCCGGAUGGUACUGGAUUUUGCAAUCAUAGUCACUAAGCAGUUUUACCCAUCUUCUCUGUCUCAGGUUCAACUCUCUCUGACUCAGGAUGUACUGCAGGCUUUUAUGAUCUGUGAAGAUCUCACAUUUAACCCCAUAAAGGUAAUACCUCCACAUCUUGAGUGCAAAGAUUACAACUGCCAUCUCUAGGUCAUGUGUAGGGUAAUUCAACUCAUGCUUCUUCAGCUGCUUAGAAGCAUAAGCAAUCACCCUUUCAUUCUGCAUCAACACACAACCCAGUCCCACACGGGACGCAUCACAGAACAAUGUGAAGUCUUCAUUACUGGUAGGCAGAGCUAACACCAGUGCCGACGUCAACCUUUUCUUCAGCUCUUCGAAGCUCUCUUCGCACUGAUCAGACCACACAAACUUAUGAUUCUUUUUAGUUAAUCUGGUCAUAGGAGCAGCAAUUUUUGAGAAGUCCUGAACGAACCUCCUGUAGUAACCUGCCAAACCCAAAAAGCUCUUGAUCUCUAUCACUGUAGUGGGUCUAGGCCAGUUAGCUACAGCUUCUACCUUCUUGGGGUCCACUUUGAUUCCCUAUUCUGACACAACAUGCCCCAAGAAUGAGAUGCUCCUUAACCAGAAUUCACAUUUGGAGAACUUAGCAUACAAGCCAUGCUCCCUCAGGGUCUGCAAAACUGUCCUCAGAUGAUGGGCAUGCUCCUCUGCGUUUCUGGAAUACACUAAAAUAUCAUCGAUGAAGACAAUAACAAAGUGAUCCAGAUAUUGACUGAAAACUCUGUUCAUGAGAUUCAUGAAUGCUGCAGGGGCAUUAGUUAGCCCGAACGGCAUUACAAGGAACUCAUAAUGCCCAUAUCUGGUCCUGAAUGCCGUCUUUGGCACAGCUUCUUCUCUUAUUCUCAACUGAUGGUACCCAGAUCUCAGAUCUAUUUUGGAGAAACAACCUGCUCCUGCUAGCUGGUCAAAUAGAUCAUCAAUCCUAGGCAACGGAUACUUGUUCUUGGUAGUGACUUUGUUCAACUGCCUGUAGUCGAUACAAAGUCUGAGGGAUCCAUCCUUCUUUCUCACAAACAACACUGGAGCACCCGAAGGUGAGGUACUCGGUCGGAUGAAACCCUUGUCUACCCACUCUUGCAACUGCUCCUUUAGUUCCUUCAACUCUGUUGGUGCCAUCCUGUAGGGAGGGAUAGAGAUUGGUCUAGUUCCAGGCAUCAGUUCUAUUUCAAACUCUAUCUCCCUAGCAGAUGGUAGUCCUGAAAGCUCGUCUGGGAAGACAUAUGGAAAUUCUCUGACUACUGGCACUGAGGCUGGUUCCCUGACCUGACUAUCUAGCUCUCUCACAUGAGCCAAAUACCCCUGACAUCCGCUCCUAAGCAACCUACAAGCCUGUAGGGCUGAUAUCAGACCUCUACGUGUACCCCUCCUGUAUCCUCUAAAGACAACCUCUGACCCAUCCUGAUCUCUGAAUCUGACUACCUUGUCCCUGCAGUCCAAGGUAGCACCAUGGGUAGAUAGCCAAUCCAUCCCUAGAAUGACGUCAAAAUCUGUCAAAUCUAGAACCACUAGGUCGGCUGGAAGGCAUCUAUCCUCUACAAAUACAGGACUAAACCGGCAGACUGACUCUGCCACUGAUGGAUCACACUUGGGCCCGCUGACCCAGAAAGGACACUCUAACCCAGAGACCAUCAAACCCAACCUCUCAACUGCUCUCGGAGCAACAAAAGAAUGAGAUGCACCAGGGUCCAUUAAUGCAUACACAUCUGAACAACCAAUGAUGAGAUUACCUGACACCACGGUGUUGGAUGUGUUCGCCUCCUGUUGAGUCAUGGUGAAAAUCCGUGCUGGUGCUGAUGGACCUUCACCCCGGGAACCUGCUGAAGAAGAGGCUGCCCCUCUCCCUCUGCCUCUACCACUGCCCUGAGUCGUGGCUGGAGCUACUGGUUGAGCUACACUGCCAGAACCUGUCGCUGGGACUGUGCCAUAAAAGCUGCUCUAGGACACUCCUGAGCCAUGUGUCCUUCUUGCCCACAUCUGAAACAUGCAGUAGUCCCAAACCGGCAGACUCCUUUGUGUGGCUUACCACACUUCAUACAAGCAUGACCGCCCGAGCCAGAGCUUGAGCCACCUCCCAUUCCCAGAUCGGAUUUAAUCCUGUUCCAGAACUUGUUCUUCUUGGACUUGGAUCUUUCCAUCUUUACACUGCUCGGAGUCUUGGAACCUGAAGGCUGUGCCACUGACUGUUUAACUUUCCCUUCGAUGAUUGCACUAGCCUCCAUUUUCUGGGCCAUAUCCACAAUGGCAUGGAAACUCUCCCUUUCUGCUGACUGGAUCAAGGAGGAAUAUCUGGAAUGAAGCUUCAUGAUAUACCUCCUAGCCUUCUUUCGGUCUGUGUCAUAAGCUUGCCCUGCAAAUGGCAACAGCUCCAGAAAUCUAUCUGUGUAUUCAUCUACACUCAUCUCUUCCGUCUGCCUAAGCUGCUCGAACUCAAUCAUCUUCAGCUCCCUGGAGUUAUCAGGGAAAGCCCAUCCUGCAAAUUCAUUUGCAAAUUCCUCCAAGGAUAAGCUAUCCACCCUUGGGUCCACAUAGUUCUUGAACCAAUCCCUGGCUUUCUUACAUUUCAGUGUGAAACCCGCCAUCUGAAUGGCUCUACUCUUACUUGCUCCCAACUCAUCAGUUAUCAUUUUCACCGUCUUGAGGUACUCAAACGGAUCAUCACCAGUCUCAUACUUGGGAGCAUCCAGCUUAAGGUAAUCAGUCAUCUUCACCUUAUCCCCCCCAGAAGAGCUAGGUUUGGGAAAUUGGACAUUUGAGGUAGCUGGCUUUGCUGGUGGAGGAGGAGGUGCAACAUUUCCUGGGGUAGGGUUUGCUGGAUUUGGAUAGAAGGAUGGGGGUGGAUACAUGGGGUACUGAGAGUAUGGUGGGUAAAAGGGAGGGUAUGGCAUGUAGGAAGGGUAUGGGUUAAAGCUAGAGUAAUCCAAUGUACCUCCCAUCGGAUACCCUGAGCCCUGAGGAAAGGGCGGAUAUUGGGGUGGAUAACCAAACCCCGAGGCCUGAGCGCCUCCUUGUGACUCCCCUGUACCUUCCUCAGACAUGCUUACACCCAAGCUUCCAUCUCUUCUCUGAUCCACAUCCAUAUCUUCCCUCACAUCAACUGAACUUCCACCCUGAUCUGUACCCCUUCUACUAGCAUCAAAAGACCUUAUAGGGUCUCUUGACACUCUUUCUCUACCAGAUCUGCAUGACAUUGCCCUUGGCAAUGCAGGAGGAUGGGCAUCCAUGCCCUCGUUCUCCGGUGGUACUCCAGUCAAUCGUACAGAUCGACGAGUGCCUCUCAUUCUGAUUCUGAAAGCAACACAACAUACACAUAAACAUUAGCAUCAAAUGGUUCAUGUGGAAACACAUGAACCCACACAUAUAUAUCAUAUCAUUAAUGCACAUGUAUGAAAUCAUGGCAUUUCACAUCAUCAUCAAGACAGGACUCCACAUCCUAUCCUAGUGGACAUGAUUUUCUUUCCUAUUGUGCUUGCCAUUCUAUAACAUCUAUGAGCCCGACACACUAUCUAGGUCUGACCAUAUGAACCUAGGGCUCUGAUACCAAUAUGUAACGACCCGAAAAUCGGACCGCUACCGACGCUAGGAUCCAGAUCGACUUAAGGUCGCCGGGACCCGUAGCAAGCCUAACAUAUAUCCUAUAUACCUGUUAAAUCCCAUAUAUGAUCAUACAUAUACAUAAAACUGUAAACUUUUUUUUUCUUUCAUUUACCAAGCUUAACCUGUGCAUACACAUACUCAUAAACAUAAACCUCACACUGGAGCCCUCAUCAAAUGCUCCAAUGGGGUAACAUAUCAUACAUUAAGCUUGGUUCACAUAAUCAUCAUAAAAACAUUACCUAGAUCAUGUAUAAAGGGGAUUAACUAAAAACAUUAGGGCCAAGCACAACAUUAAACCUCAAUAUACAUCAUUUCAUAUCUUACAAUACCAUUCAUUACAUCACAUUCUUUCUCAUGUCCACUACUAACUAUUACAUACAUAAAACCUCUCUACUCUAGCUGACCUCCCAAACUGUCUCUGGCCUGCAAACCUGGGGGGUUAAGGGAAAGGGGGUGAGCUAAAAAGCCCAGUGAGCAGAACAAAUAAACAUAUAUAAAAAUCAUGCUUUCAUUGAAUGCAUUACAACACAUACAAUUCACAUCACGGAUAAACUUGUCACCAAUAACCCUCUACAUUUCCAAUGUGCCCGGCCCUCGACGGAGCUCCGCAAGACUUCCUCUUAAUCAUAACAUACAAUGCCAAGACGCGUGGACAUGGGCAGCCCUGGACUUUCAUUAAUCAUCAUACAUAUAAAAUGCCAGGAUGCGUGGACAUGGGCAGCCUUGGACUUUUAUAAAUUAUCAUACAUAUUGAGGGCUAAUGGAUCAUCCAACAUUCAUCCAUAUCAACCACAUAGAAUGCAAUGCAUCAUAUUUGUGAGAUUCUAAUGCAACAUCCUAAAAUACAUCAUGGUAUUCGUGAUGCAUGAACAUGCUCAAAACUUUGUCAUUUUAAUACAUAGUUCAGUUCUACUCACCUCUGGCUGACUCUGAACAGACUCUGAAGCAGCUAUCUCACUGCUGGGGUCCUCAGUUCCUCGGGUCUGAUCCUACACAGGUGGACUCAUAUGAGGUACCAAACAUAGACUAACAUGACUCUAAACAACUCCCCAAAAACCCCCUAAAACACCUCAAAACAUUCAUGCAAAAUAGGCAAAAGAAGGUUGGACAGGGCACCUUCGGCGGCCGAACCCUCCUCCAGAUCCGAAAGUCAUAGACCUUCUGCGGCACCUUCGGCGGCCGAAAGUUCUCUCCAGAUCCGAAACUCAUGCAUGUUCGGCGGCAGGUUCGAUGGCCGAAACUGCCCUCCAAAGCCGAAAGUCCAACUUUCGGGGGCAGGGUUCGGUAGCCAAAACAUGCCACCAUAGGCAGGUUCGGCGGCCGAAAGUGCCUUCGGCUGCCGAACCUGAGUUCUUCCAGAAUGGCAGAACUCGGGCCUCAUGCACAUUUUGGCCUCCCAUAACCCUCAAAUCAUGCAUUUAGCUAUUCUACAACAUGCAUAAACACAUUUUCCAGCAUAUAGGGGCUUACAACUAACCUAUACCCCAACAACACAUCAUAGCAACACAUUAUAACAUACAUUAUCCAUAAACUCAACAAUGACCCUAACCUUUGACAACUACCCUAAUCAUGCAUAAAACCCCUUCAAACUUCUCAAAACUUACUCAAAACAUGAAAAGAGGUGAGGAUCUACUCUUACCUCUUGAAGAUCGAGAGGAGAGGCAAUCCAACUCGGAGAUGGGAGAGAUCGAGCUCCUGGAGUCUCCAAGUUUCCAAC
RNAcentral lists this long non-coding RNA (7823 nucleotides) under Manihot esculenta (cassava). RNAcentral's name for it is "long non-coding RNA (MESC_LNC007373)". The record is from RNAcentral. Lineage: Eukaryota; Viridiplantae; Streptophyta; Magnoliopsida; Malpighiales; Euphorbiaceae.